Molecule: long non-coding RNA, 831 nt
Filed under: Equus caballus (horse)
Lineage: Eukaryota; Metazoa; Chordata; Mammalia; Perissodactyla; Equidae
Description: lncRNA (ENSECAG00000048806.1)
Source: RNAcentral
GGCUGGCUCUCUGCCCCUCCCUGGGAGCUGGCCAGUCUCAGAGCACAGAGCUGCACACGGCCGGAGACUCCCCUGGGUGGGAACAAACCCCUGGCUGGUCAGGGCCCUCGAGACAGGAACACGGUCACAGGGACCGGGGACAAAGAGGGCCAUCUGGGCCCUUGGCUGCCUGCUCCUGCCACCUGCCACUUUGGAAGGGACUGGAUUCGAUAGAAGAAAGAAGGGAAAGGCAAAGGAAAGCACAAAUGUGACGUUAAACACACAGAGGAGACCCCACAUCAGUGACUCACACAGAUGCUGCCAAGGAUCCAGCUGCUUCACACUGUGCAGACAAGAUGGGGGUCUGCAAGCCCGCGUGCGCCGGCAGGGCCCGAGAAGACUGCUGGAGAUUCUGUUUGCGCAUGAAGACACUGUAGGCUCCUCUGGCAGAUGCAGAAACUGUGGCUUAGAGAGGUCUGGAGCACCAGAUAUAUAAGGUGAGACCAGAACAGCUUGUACCAGAAGACAAGAAAGUUAUCGAACACCACUGGGGUCAUGUCAAAAGGACUCAGGUGCCGACCUGAAGGAGCUCCCACUGGACAAAAUGGCAUCGUUUGUGCUUCAAAAACAAAACUAAACAAACAAACAAAGACCCUGCAAUGAAUUGAAAUACAUCAAAUAUUUUAAAACUCCAUGAGUUCAAGAUGAUAAUUAAAAAAAGACACUUGGAGGAUGCUUAGAAAAAACCAACUCACUCUUCCAAAAAUUGAUAAAGGGAAAGCGAACUCUGGGGCUUCCCAAUGAUAUUGUGAAGUUGCACAUUCGUUGGAAGGCCUCCCAUGUACUCCCAAG